This is a long non-coding RNA of Labrus mixtus (cuckoo wrasse), 821 nucleotides long. RefSeq lists it as uncharacterized. NCBI's taxonomy places the organism in Eukaryota, Metazoa, Chordata, Actinopteri, Labriformes, Labridae. The record is from RefSeq and is a predicted model, not a curated record. The transcript has 2 exons.
UCUUAAUAUUAAUUACCUAAUACCCCGAAGUCUGCCAAGGAGCCGUGUCGGACCACGUGUUUCACAUCAUGAAAGUUUGAUGGUUAAGAGAAUGCAGGACGAGAUUUUCAUUAGUGAACUCCACUUACAGCAGAGCGAUAAAAGGUACCGCUUUGUCCACAAGGGUCGCCAAGUUCCUCACAGUAGCUUUAUUAUAAGACCACAACUUACAUGCAAUCAAGAUAAUGUACUCACAAGGAGUGCGUGUUGAAAGAGAUGGGCGUUCACUCAUAAAUCCAUGAUGUGAGUAAAACGAAUCAUCUUUGGUCAUCAGUAUGAAAGUGGAGCUUGAGUUUUCUGAUUCUCAAAUUGAGACGUUACAAAGAUUUUAAAAUUGAAAACUGAAAAGAAACGUUCAGUUUUGGAGUGCAAAACUUUGUUUAAGGCUCUGCAUCAUGGUCAAAUAUGUUCAGAAGAUGUAUUUAAGGUCACAAUUUAAUCAGCUAAAUGGUAAAACGACAUCUUGUAUAUCGCUCUUCUUGUGUUUUUACACAGCAGGUCACACCUACACAUUCACAAACUGGUGCUGUGUAAAGUGACCAUCAGAAGUAACUAGCUAUUCGUUCACAUUCACACACCACCGACGAAGCGUUUUGAGUUUGGAAUAUUCAAUAACUCAAAAUAUCUUAGGGACGCUGGUAGCCUAGUGGUUAGUGUGCGAGUCUCAUGUACAGAUAAUGUAGUUCUCAGGAAGCCCCGGUUAGAAUCGGUCCUAUGGCCUCUAAAUAAAGACAUAACAAGCCAAACAAUAAACCUUCAAUAAAAUAAUAAAUUUAAUGUUA